This 2044-nucleotide long non-coding RNA is filed under the name Homo sapiens (human). RNAcentral describes it as "HSALNT0172845". Lineage: Eukaryota; Metazoa; Chordata; Mammalia; Primates; Hominidae. The record is from RNAcentral.
CAGGAGCAUAGCAUUUGGAAAACCUAAGCCGCUUUCCUCUCAAGCACAGCUCUCCAGGAAUCUGGGCCUUCUCCGUAACCUGAUGUCAUGCUUACUUCUCCACAACCUCUUUCUUGAAAAGAUGCUGAUAAACAAAUUCACACCAAGACAGAAGGGACUGACAUUGGCUUCCCACAUUACCUCUUGCCCACAAUUAUUAGGUGACAAUAUCUGUUUAAGAGAAUAUGACUCUGGCCCUCUCCCUCUCCCUCUCCCUCUCCAAUAUCUGUUUAAGAGAAUAUGACUUUGGCCCUCUCCCUUUCCCCCUCCCCCUCCCCCUCCCUCUCCCUCUGCCCUCUUUCCACCGUCUCCCUCUGAUGCCGAGCCGAAGCUGGACUGUACUGCUGCCAUCUCGGCUCACUGCAACCUCCCUGCCUGAUUCUCCUGCCUCAGCCUGCCGAGUGCCUGCGAUUGCAGGCGCGCGCCGCCACGCCUGACUGGUUUUCGUAUUUUUUGGGUGGAGACGGGGUUUCGCUGUGUUGGCCGGGCUGGUCUCCAGCUCCUAACCGCGAGUGAUCCGCCAGCCUCGGCCUCCCGAGGUGCCGGGAUUGCAGACGGAGUCUCCUUCACUCAGUGCUCAAUGGUGCCCAGGCUGGAGUGCAGUGGCAUGAUCUCGGCUCGCUACAACAUCCACCUCCCAGCAGCCUGCCUUGGCCUCCCAAAGUGCCGAGAUUGCAGCCUCUGCCCGGCCGCCACCCCGUCUGGGAAGUGAGGAGCGUCUCUGCCUGGCCGCCCAUCGUCUGGGAUGUGAGGAGCCCCUCUGCCUGGCUGCCCAGUCUGGAAAGUGAGGAGCGUCUCUGCCCAGCCGCCAUCCCAUCUAGGAAGUGAGGAGCGCCUCUUCCAGGCUGCCAUCCCAUCUAGGAAGUGAGGAGCGUCUCUGCCCGGCCACCCAUCGUCUGAGAUGUGGGGAGCGCCUCUGCCCUGUCGCCCCGUCCGGGAUGUGAGGAGCGUCUCUGCCCGGCCGCCCCGUCUGAGAAGUGAGGAGACCCUCUGCCUGGCAACCGCCCUGUCUGAGAAGUGAGGAGCCCCUCCGCCCGGCAGCCGCCCCGUCUGAGAAGUGAGGAGCCCCUCUGCCCGGCAGCCACCCCGUCUGGGAAGUGAGGAGCGUCUCCGCCCGGCAGCCACCCCGUCUGGGAGGGAGGUGGGGGGUCAGCCCCCCGCCUGGCCAGCCGCCCCGUCCGGGAGGUGAGGGGCGCCUCUGCCCGGCCGCCCCUACUGGGAAGUGAGGAGCCCCUCUGCCCGGCCAGCCGCCCCGUCCAGGAGGGAGUUGGGGGGGGUCAGCCCCCCGCCUGGCCAGCCGCCCCAUCCGGGAGGGAGGGGGGGUCAGCCCCCCGCCUGGCCAGCCGCCCCAUCCGGGAGGUGAGGGGCACCUCUGCCCGGCCGCCCCUACUGGGAAGUGAGGAGCCCCUCUGCCCGGCCAGCCGCCCCGUCCGGGAGGGAGGUGGGGGGGUCAGCCCCCCGCCCGGCCAGCCGCCCCGUCCGGGAGGGAGUUGGGGGUGGUCAGCCCCCCGCCCGGCCAGCCGCCCCGUCCGGGAGGGAGGUGGGGGGGUCAGCCCCCCACCCGGCCAGCCGCCCGGUCCGGGAGGUGAGGGGCGCCUCUGCCCGGCCACCCCUACUGGGAAGUGAGGAGCCCCUCUGCCCGGCCACCACCCCGUCUGGGAGGUGUACUCAACAGCUCAUUGAGAACGGGCCAUGAUGACGAUGGCGGUUUUGUGGAAUAGAAAGGGGGGAAAGGUGGGGAAAAGAUUGAGAAAUCGGAUGGUUGCCGUGUCUGUGUAGAAAGAGGUAGACAUGGGAGACUUUUCAUUUUGUUCUGUACUAAGAAAAAUUCUUCUGCCUUGGGAUCCUGUUGAUCUGUGACCUUACCCCCAACCCUGUGCUCUGUGAAACAUGUGCUGUGUCCACUCAGGGUUAAAUGGAUUAAGGGCGGUGCAAGAUGUGCUUUGUUAAACAGAAGCUUGAAGGCAGCAUACUCGUUAAGAGUCAUCACCACUCCCUAAUCUCA